RNAcentral lists this ribosomal RNA (580 nucleotides) under Fusarium avenaceum. RNAcentral describes it as "eukaryotic LSU rRNA". The stretch from base 190 to 343 matches the Rfam family "5.8S ribosomal RNA". The record is from RNAcentral. Lineage: Eukaryota; Fungi; Ascomycota; Sordariomycetes; Hypocreales; Nectriaceae.
UUCGUAGGUCUCGUUGGUGACCAGCGGAGGGAUCAUUACCGAGUUUACAACUCCCAAACCCCUGUGAACAUACCUUAAUGUUGCCUCGGCGGAUCAGCCCGCGCCCCGUAAAACGGGACGGCCCGCCAGAGGACCCAAACUCUAAUGUUUCUUAUUGUAACUUCUGAGUAAAACAAACAAAUAAAUCAAAACUUUCAACAACGGAUCUCUUGGUUCUGGCAUCGAUGAAGAACGCAGCAAAAUGCGAUAAGUAAUGUGAAUUGCAGAAUUCAGUGAAUCAUCGAAUCUUUGAACGCACAUUGCGCCCGCUGGUAUUCCGGCGGGCAUGCCUGUUCGAGCGUCAUUUCAACCCUCAAGCCCCCGGGUUUGGUGUUGGGGAUCGGCUCUGCCUUCUGGCGGUGCCGCCCCCGAAAUACAUUGGCGGUCUCGCUGCAGCCUCCAUUGCGUAGUAGCUAACACCUCGCAACUGGAACGCGGCGCGGCCAUGCCGUAAAACCCCAACUUCUGAAUGUUGACCUCGGAUCAGGUAGGAAUACCCGCUGAACUUAAGCAUAUCAAAGCCGGGAGGAAAACCCCAACG